ACUCCUACGGGAGGCAGCAGUAGGGAAUAUUGGACAAUGGGCGAAAGCCUGAUCCAGCAAUGCCGCGUGAGUGAUGAAGGCCUUAGGGUUGUAAAGCUCUUUUACCCGGGAUGAUAAUGACAGUACCGGGAGAAUAAGCUCCGGCUAACUCCGUGCCAGCAGCCGCGGUAAUACGGAGGAGCUAGCGUUGUUCGGAAUUACUGGGCGUAAAGCGCACGUAGGCGGCUAUUCAAGUCAGAGGUGAAAGCCCGGGGCUCAACCCCGGAACUGCCUUUGAAACUAGAUAGCUUGAAUCCAGGAGAGGUGAGUGGAAUUCCGAGUGUAGAGGUGAAAUUCGUAGAUAUUCGGAAGAACACCAGUGGCGAAGGCGGCUCACUGGACUGGUAUUGACGCUGAGGUGCGAAAGCGUGGGAGCGAAACAGGAUUAGAUACCCUGGUAGCGACUGA
Molecule: ribosomal RNA, 447 nt
Filed under: uncultured bacterium
Lineage: Bacteria
Description: bacterial SSU rRNA
Rfam family: Bacterial small subunit ribosomal RNA
Source: RNAcentral